Molecule: ribosomal RNA, 145 nt
Filed under: uncultured Gammaproteobacteria bacterium
Lineage: Bacteria; Pseudomonadati; Pseudomonadota; Gammaproteobacteria
Description: partial 16S ribosomal RNA
Source: RNAcentral
UAACGUAAANACCCCCAGGUUAUUAACCUUAUCGCCUUUCUCCCCGCUGAAAGUGCUUUACAACCCGAAGGCCUUCUUCACACACGCGGCAUGGCUGGAUGAGGCUUGCGCCCAUUGUGCAAUGUUCCCCACUGCUGGCGUCCCG